This 514-nucleotide ribosomal RNA is filed under the name uncultured bacterium. RNAcentral's name for it is "partial 16S ribosomal RNA". It matches the Rfam family "Bacterial small subunit ribosomal RNA", at positions 28 to 523 of the family's 1533-position model. The record is from RNAcentral.
GAUGAACGCUGGCGGCGUGCCUAAUACAUGCAAGUCGAGCGAAUGGAUUAAGAGCUUGCUCUUAUGAAGUUAGCGGCGGACGGGUGAGUAACACGUGGGUAACCUGCCCAUAAGACUGGGAUAACUCCGGGAAACCGGGGCUAAUACCGGAUAACAUUUUGAACCGCAUGGUUCGAAAUUGAAAGGCGGCUUCGGCUGUCACUUAUGGAUGGACCCGCGUCGCAUUAGCUAGUUGGUGAGGUAACGGCUCACCGAGGCAACGAUGCGUAGCCGACCUGAGAGGGUGAUCGGCCACACUGGGACUGAGACACGGCCCAGACUCCUACGGGAGGCAGCAGUAGGGAAUCUUCCGCAAUGGACGAAAGUCUGACGGAGCAACGCCGCGUGAGUGAUGAAGGCUUUCGGGUCGUAAAACUCUGUUGUUAGGGAAGAACAAGUGCUAGUUAAUAAGCUGACACCUUGACGGUACCUAACCAGAAAGCCACGGCUAACUACGUGCCAGCAGCCGCGGUAA